Non-coding RNA from Lacerta agilis (Sand lizard), 73 nucleotides. The record is from the annotation of a RefSeq genome assembly. Lineage: Eukaryota; Metazoa; Chordata; Lepidosauria; Squamata; Lacertidae.
AGAAGCUUAAGUUAUAUCUUCAAACUAGAAGCCUUCAAAGCCUCAAAAAGGGUACAAAAAUCCCUAGCUUCUG